RNAcentral lists this ribosomal RNA (462 nucleotides) under uncultured Methanosaeta sp. Its description in RNAcentral is "bacterial SSU rRNA". It matches the Rfam family "Archaeal small subunit ribosomal RNA", at positions 877 to 1338 of the family's 1478-position model. Lineage: Archaea; Methanobacteriati; Methanobacteriota; Methanomicrobia; Methanotrichales; Methanotrichaceae. The record is from RNAcentral.
CACUACAACGGGUGGAGCCUGCGGUUUAAUUGGAUUCAACGCCGGAAAUCUCACCGGGGCGACAGCAAUAUGAAGGUCAGGCUGAAGACCUUACCCGAUUUAGCUGAGAGGUGGUGCAUGGCCGUCGUCAGUUCGCACUGUGAAGCAUCCUGUUAAGUCAGGCAACGAGCGAGACCCACGUCCACAGUUGCCAGCAUACCCUCCGGGGUGAUGGGUACACUGUGGAGACCGCCGCUGCUAAAGCGGAGGAAGGAGUGGGCAACGGUAGGUCAGUAUGCCCCGAAUCUCCCGGGCUACACGCGGGCUACAAUGGUUGGUACAAUGGGCAUCUACCCCGAAAGGGGAAGGAAAUCUCUUAAAGCCAAUCGUAGUUCGGAUUGAGGGCUGCAACUCGCCCUCAUGAAGCUGGAAUCCGUAGUAAUCGCGUUUCAACAGAACGCGGUGAAUACGUCCCUGCUCCUU